GGGGGCUUUUGAUUAUCUAUUUCUGUGGAUUCUAUUCUAUUACAGCGUCAUUUUAUCUCAAUUAUAACUAUCAACAACGGAUCUCUUGGCUCUCACAUCGAUGAAGAACGCAGCGAACCGCGAUAUUUUUUGUGACUUGCAGAUGUGAAUCAUCAAUCUUUGAACGCACAUUGCGCGGUAUGGCAUUCCGUACCGCACGGAUGGAGGAGCGUGUUCCCUCUGGGAUCGCAUUGCUUUCUUGAAAUGGAUUUUUUAAACUUUCAAUUAUUACCUCCUUUCCCCUCCUUUAUCCGAAAUUACCCGCUGAACUUAAGCCUAUCCAUAAGCCGAAGAAAAACUAGGUUUGUUUGAAAGAAUUUAAGGUGUAAACUUAUUUUAAGCGACUUUUAUUUAUCCAAAACGCUUAAUUUGGUACUGGCCACCACAAUUUAUUUCAUAACUUUGACCUCAAAUCAGGUAGGACUACCCGCUGAAAUUAACCAUAUCAAUAACCGGAGGAAAAGGAAUCCCUGGCUGGGUUGGGGGACGGAGGGGUCGUGGAAUAAAAGAUUCUUUGGAAGGCGGGAUUUAAAUAACCCAAUUUAACACUUCCCCCCCCCCCCCAAAUACCCGCCACAUGAAUUAUAUUAAAGGGGGGAAGAAAUAUUUCGGAAUUUUGGGUUUCCUUUCUGAAAAAGCAAGC
Molecule: ribosomal RNA, 682 nt
Filed under: Kluyveromyces marxianus
Lineage: Eukaryota; Fungi; Ascomycota; Saccharomycetes; Saccharomycetales; Saccharomycetaceae
Description: partial 26S ribosomal RNA
Rfam family: 5.8S ribosomal RNA (bases 66-214)
Source: RNAcentral